This 756-nucleotide ribosomal RNA is filed under the name uncultured bacterium. RNAcentral's name for it is "bacterial SSU rRNA". It matches the Rfam family "Bacterial small subunit ribosomal RNA", at positions 8 to 796 of the family's 1533-position model. The record is from RNAcentral.
AGAGUUUGAUCCUGGCUCAGAAUCAACGCUGGCGGCGCGCCUAACACAUGCAAGUCGAACGAGAAAGUGGAGCAAUCCAUGAGUACAGUGGCGUACGGGUGAGUAACACGUGGGUAAUCUACCUUUUAGUGAGGAAUAACCCUGGGAAACCGGGGCUAAUACCGCAUAAGCCUGAGAAGGGAAAGUCGAAAGACGCUGAAAGAGGAGCCCGCGGCCGAUUAGCUAGUUGGUGAGGUAAGAGCCCACCAAGGCAGAGAUCGGUAGCCGGCCUGAGAGGGCACACGGCCACACUGGCACUGAAACACGGGCCAGACUCCUACGGGAGGCAGCAGUGGGGAAUCUUGCACAAUGGGGGAAACCCUGAUGCAGCGACGCCGCGUGAGCGAUGAAGCCCUUCGGGGUGUAAAGCUCUUUCGUCAGGGAAGAUAGUGACGGUACCUGGAGAAGCAGCUGCGGCUAACUACGUGCCAGCAGCCGCGGUAAUACGUAGGCAGCAAGCGUUGUUCGGAGUUACUGGGCGUAAAGGGUGUGUAGGCGGUUCUUUAAGUUUGGUGUGAAAUCUCCCGGCUCAACCGGGAGGGUGCGCCGAAUACUGAGGGACUAGAGUGCGGGAGAGGAAAGUGGAAUUCCUGGUGUAGCGGUGAAAUGCGUAGAUAUCAGGAGGAACACCGGUGGUGUAGACGGCUUUCUGGACCGUAACUGACGCUGAGACACGAAAGCGUGGGUAGCAAACAGGAUUAGAUACCCUAGUAGUCC